CCUACGGGUGGCAGCAGUGGGGAAUAUUGGGCAAUGGACGCAAGCCUGAUCCAGCUAUUCCGCGUGUGGGAUGACGGCCUUCAGGUUGUAAACCACUUUUGUUGAGAACGAAAAGUCUGUUGAUAAUACCGAUAGAUGAUGACGGUACUCUAAAGAUAAGCCCCGGCUAACUACGUGCCAGCCGCCGCGGUAAUACGUAGGGUGCGAGCGUUAAUCGGAAUUGCUGGACGGAAAGGGGGGGCGGGCGGUUUUGCAAGAUGGAUGGGAAAGCCCCGGGCUUAACCUGGGAAAGCCAUACAUGACUGGAAGACUAGAGUGCGUCAGAGGGGGGUGGAAUUCCAAGUGUAGCAGUGAAAUGCGUAGAUAUUUGGAAGAACACCGAUGGCGAAGGCAGCCCCCUGGGACGCAACUGACGCUCAUACACGAAAGCGUGGGGAGCAAACAGGAUUAGAUACCCGAGUAGUC
This 465-nucleotide ribosomal RNA is filed under the name uncultured bacterium. RNAcentral's name for it is "partial 16S ribosomal RNA". It matches the Rfam family "Bacterial small subunit ribosomal RNA", at positions 338 to 795 of the family's 1533-position model. The record is from RNAcentral.